This 108-nucleotide ribosomal RNA is filed under the name Eptatretus burgeri (inshore hagfish). Lineage: Eukaryota; Metazoa; Chordata; Myxini; Myxiniformes; Myxinidae. The record is from RNAcentral.
GCCCGUGAUCAUACCAUCCUGAAUAUGCCUGAUCUCAAUGCUCAUGAGGUUUGGGCCUGGUUAGCACUUGGAUGGGAGACUGCCUGGGAACACUGGGUGUUGUAGGUU